CUGCAGACUAGGUUGGUGCACUAGCCCUGCACUGUAACUGCAAACGGGCUUUACGGCAGGACCGAAGCCCAAAAAGAGACGUAGCAGAGCUUGUCAGUCCUUGCUUAGACCAUGAUGCUCUGUCCUUAGGGAUUGGUUUUUUCAGGAAACUGGUCAGGAUGGGAACAUAGCAGCCAUAACUGAUUAAACCGGUGCUCAAAGGGUAGCGGAGCUGAGAAAGAGUAAGGGUAAGCUGGCAAUCCCUGUUAUGUCCAUUUUUGGGCGUGUCUGCUU
RNAcentral lists this signal recognition particle RNA (273 nucleotides) under Candidatus Woesearchaeota archaeon. RNAcentral's name for it is "signal recognition particle sRNA". It matches the Rfam family "Archaeal signal recognition particle RNA". Lineage: Archaea; Nanobdellati; Candidatus Woesearchaeota. The record is from RNAcentral.